GGGUCAGUAGGUUGGUCGUGCCACCGGUACGUACUGGUCUCACUGAUUCCUCCUUCCCGAAGAACCGUAAUGCCAUUAAUUUGGUGUUGCGGGGAAACAGGACUGUUACUUUGAAAAAAUUAGAGUGUUUAAAGCAAGCUAACGCUUGAAUACAUUAGCACGGAAUAAUGAAAUAGGACGAUCGAUCCUAUUUUGUUGGUUUCUAGGAUUGACGUA
RNAcentral lists this ribosomal RNA (216 nucleotides) under Glomeromycotina sp. RNAcentral describes it as "partial small subunit ribosomal RNA". The stretch from base 75 to 216 matches the Rfam family "Eukaryotic small subunit ribosomal RNA", at positions 721 to 864 of the family's 1831-position model. The record is from RNAcentral. Lineage: Eukaryota; Fungi; Glomeromycota.